CCUACGGGUGGCAGCAGUGAGGAAUAUUGGUCAAUGGACGAGAGUCUGAACCAGCCAAGUAGCGUGAAGGAUGACUGCCCUAUGGGUUGUAAACUUCUUUUAUAAAGGAAUAAAACGAGGCACGUGUGCCUUUUUGCAUGUCCUUUAUGAAUAAGGAUCGGCUAACUCCGUGCCAGGAGCCCUGGUACUAUGGAGGUUCCGAGCUUAAUCCGGAUUUAUUGGGUUUAAAGGGAGCGUAGAUGGGUUGUUAAGUCAGUGGUGAAAGUUAGUGGCUCAGCCGGUGAAUUGCAAUUGAUACUGGCAGUCUUGAGUACAGUUGAGGUAGGCGGAAUUCGUGGUGUAGCGGUGAAAUGCUUAGAGAUCACGAAGAACCCCGAUUGCGAAGGCAGCUUACUAAACUGUGACUGACACUGAUGCUCGAAAGUGUGGGUAUCAAACAGGAUUAGAUAUCCCUGUAGUC
Molecule: ribosomal RNA, 460 nt
Filed under: uncultured bacterium
Lineage: Bacteria
Description: partial 16S ribosomal RNA
Rfam family: Bacterial small subunit ribosomal RNA
Source: RNAcentral